Small nucleolar RNA from Protopterus annectens (West African lungfish), 66 nucleotides. RefSeq annotates it as small nucleolar RNA SNORD58. The record is from RefSeq and is a predicted model, not a curated record. The transcript has a single exon. NCBI's taxonomy places the organism in Eukaryota, Metazoa, Chordata, Ceratodontiformes, Protopteridae.
UGGCAAUGAUGACUAUCUUAGGACACCUUUGGAUAACAAAUGAAAAUAAACUGUAUCCUGAGCAAC